UUGCCUACGGGGGGCAGCAGUGGGGAAUUUUGGACAAUGGGGGCAACCCUGAUCCAGCCAUGCCGCGUGCGGGAAGAAGGCCUUCGGGUUGUAAACCGCUUUUAGCCGGGAAGAAAAGGCGUCCACUAACACUGGGCGUUCUUGACGGUACCGGCGGAAUAAGCACCGGCUAACUACGUGCCAGCAGCCGCGGUAAUACGUAGGGUGCGAGCGUUAAUCGGAAUUACUGGGCGUAAAGCGUGCGCAGGCGGUUGGUUAAGUUUGCGGUGAAAGCCCCGGGCUCAACCUGGGAAUGGCCGUGGAGACUGGCGGGCUGGAGUGCGGCAGAGGGGGGUGGAAUUCCGCGUGUAGCAGUGAAAUGCGUAGAGAUGCGGAGGAACACCGAUGGCGAAGGCAGCCCCCUGGGCCGACACUGACGCUCAGGCACGAAAGCGUGGGGAGCAAACAGGAUUAGAUACCCCAGUAGUCCG
Molecule: ribosomal RNA, 470 nt
Filed under: uncultured bacterium
Lineage: Bacteria
Description: bacterial SSU rRNA
Rfam family: Bacterial small subunit ribosomal RNA
Source: RNAcentral